This 256-nucleotide ribosomal RNA is filed under the name uncultured bacterium. Its description in RNAcentral is "partial 16S ribosomal RNA". It matches the Rfam family "Bacterial small subunit ribosomal RNA", at positions 524 to 778 of the family's 1533-position model. The record is from RNAcentral.
UACGUAGGGGGCAAGCGUUGUCCGGAAUCAUUGGGCGUAAAGAGCGUGUAGGCGGUCCGGUCAGUCGGUUGUGAAAGUCAAGGGCUCAACCCUUGAAUGCCGGCCGAUACUGCCGGGCUAGAGUCCGGAAGAGGUGAGUGGAAUUCCUGGUGUGAGCGGUGAAAUGCGCAGAUAUCAGGAGGAACACCGAUGGCGAAGGCAGCUCACUGGGACGGUACUGACGCUGAGACGCGAAAGCGUGGGGAGCAAACAGGAU